CAUGUGGAGCGCUUAGAAGUGAGAAUGCCGGUGUGAGUAGCGAAAGACGGGUGAGAAUCCCGUCCACCGAUUGACUAAGGUUUCCAGAGGAAGGCUCGUCCGCUCUGGGUUAGUCGGGUCCUAAGCUGAGGCCGACAGGCGUAGGCGAUGGAUAACAGGUUGAUAUUCCUGUACCACCUAUAAUCGUUUUAAUCGAUGGGGGGACGCAGUAGGAUAGGCGAAGCGUGCGAUUGGAUUGCACGUCUAAGCAGUAAGGCUGAGUAUUAGGCAAAUCCGGUACUCGUUAAGGCUGAGCUGUGAUGGGGAGAAGACAUUGUGUCUUCGAGUCGUUGAUUUCACACUGCCGAGAAAAGCCUCUAGAUAGAAAAUAGGUGCCCGUACCGCAAACCGACACAGGUAGUCAAGAUGAGAAUUCUAAGGUGAGCGAGCGAACUCUCGUUAAGGAACUCGGCAAAAUGACCCCGUAACUUCGGGAGAAGGGGUGCUCUUUAGGGUUAACGCCCAGAAGAGCCGCAGUGAAUAGGCCCAAGCGACUGUUUAUCAAAAACACAGGUCUCUGCUAAACCGUAAGGUGAUGUAUAGGGGCUGACGCCUGCCCGGUGCUGGAAGGUUAAGAGGAGUGGUUAGCUUCUGCGAAGCUACGAAUCGAAGCCCCAGUAAACGGCGGCCGUAACUAUAACGGUCCUAAGGUAGCGAAAUUCCUUGUCGGGUAAGUUCCGACCCGCACGAAAGGCGUAACGAUUUGGGCACUGUCUCAACGAGAGACUCGGUGAAAUCAUAGUACCUGUGAAGAUGCAGGUUACCCGCGACAGGACGGAAAGACCCCGUGGAGCUUUACUGUAGCCUGAUAUUGAAAUUCGGCACAGCUUGUACAGGAUAGGUAGGAGCCUUUGAAACGUGAGCGCUAGCUUACGUGGAGGCGCUGGUGGG
RNAcentral lists this ribosomal RNA (930 nucleotides) under Staphylococcus aureus. Its description in RNAcentral is "partial 23S ribosomal RNA". It matches the Rfam family "Bacterial large subunit ribosomal RNA", at positions 1270 to 2196 of the family's 2925-position model. Lineage: Bacteria; Bacillati; Bacillota; Bacilli; Caryophanales; Staphylococcaceae. The record is from RNAcentral.